Molecule: long non-coding RNA, 7267 nt
Filed under: Malus domestica (apple)
Lineage: Eukaryota; Viridiplantae; Streptophyta; Magnoliopsida; Rosales; Rosaceae
Description: long non-coding RNA (MDOM_LNC003531)
Source: RNAcentral
AAUAACUAGGGCAAGAACAAAAGAAGAAGAAAAGACGAGUAGGUUAGAAACUUAAAAUAUGCAGACAAAAACAAGUGCGUUGAACUUAUCUGCAUCACAAGUAUAGAUCCCGUGACACCACAGCAUGGCCAACUUUUCGGUUCACGGGACCACCGUCUGCAUGCAGUACUGCUCCUCCCAUACCUUCCCACCACCACCAAUAAUAUUCCCUUGCUUCUCAUUCCCCUAUAAAACCCACCAACUUUGGAGUUCCAAAAUCCACAACCUUAACGCACCAAAUAAUUCCUAUAAGAAAAGAUAUGGAGGGUGCUCGUCAAAAGCUGGUCGUAGUUUUGGCUGCUGUGGUUUUGGUUGCAAUUGCAGGCAAUGGCGGUUUUGUUCAGGUUGCUAAUGCUCAGAACAUAUGCAACGUCUCUGUCACCGAUUUGAUGAAGUGUAGGCCGGCUGUGACUUCUCCGAAUCCGGCACCGCCUACUAAAGCCUGCUGCGCCGCGCUGUCGCACGCCAACCUGAGCUGCCUUUGCUCCUACAAGAACUCCAGUGUCUUGCCUUCUCUGGGAAUUGACCCUAACCUUGCCCUACAGCUUCCCGCCAAGUGCAAGCUUCCCCAUCCUGCCAAUUGCUAGACAGAGCGACGUACACAAUGGUCUAAUCAACAAACAUGAUUUAGUUACGAUUAAGAUAUGAUUAAUCGUGUAAUCAUGUACAACUUUGGAUAAUUAAUAUGCUUUCCUAUGUGUAAUGUAAGCAUGUUUAGUUGGAUGUGUGCGUUUGUCCAAUUUGCUAUCAUGUUAUGUAAUAUUAUUAAUAAUACAAAUCUCGUUUUUUUUUUUUUUUCCGGUAACAAGCCUCUUUGAAUACAAAUUUUAGGGACAGGACUUACCACAGGCCUCUUUCAAUACAAAUCUCGGCUUUCACAUAAGUGGUUACGUUCAAAUUAUUGAAUAUAUAAUUAAGAUUGCAGUCACAUAUUUCACAUAUAACUCUAGUUUUUUUAUAUGGUUUUCGAGAGAAGAAAUUUAUUAAGCUAAUAGGCUCCAGCAAGUGAGGAAUAUCUCCCAUCAAAAUUUCACAAGUAUUAUCUCUACUAAUUAAUGAAAUCCUUUUUGUCAACCAAAAGAAAGUGAAAAAAACAAUUAGUCUUCUAUCACAAAAAAAAAAAAAUUGAUGGGCAAUAAUGUAAUUUCACAGGUUCAAAUUUUAUUGUUUUUUAUUAAAACCUCACCUACAGGUGAUGUUAAAAUACCUCCAAUAUUAUUAUAAAAAAAACAACCAUAAACAAAAACCUUCCACUCCACCCAUGUUCUCUCUCUCUCCCUCUCUCCUUCUCAUUUUCUAAAAAAAAUGUGUUCAUACACACAAAGUGUGUAGGCAAAUGUUAGUAAUUAUUAAGAUGAUUAAGAUCUAAAGAUUCCUAAUCCUUCAACAGUGUGUGUGUGUGUGUGUGUGUGUGUGUGUGUGUGUGUGUGUGUGUGUGUAAUAACUGAACAACACUUUGGUUCCACAUUAAUUUGUAAAGAAAUUCCUUCACAAUUUUGUGAAGCCAAAAAAUUGUUCUUAAAAUGAUUCGUCGUCCAAAUGUGCUGAUGCAUCAACACAAUUUAAGAAAUUAAUUGGCAAUUUUAAGUCCCACGUUAAAUAUCCAAAGGUUAAAAUAUACUUUUGAGUUUUACUAUGAACUCUUGGAUAAUAUAAUAUAUACACGAAUGCAUUUUGAGUUGAGCAUAAUUCUUGUACAAAAUAAACAAAUGAACCUCUUAUACCAUAAGCUUUUAUGGAGAAGACGAGCAUCAUCUCCAAUAAUGUACAUACAAACGGGGGCCGUCAGACCGAUCUACUGGCGUCUACGGACGGUUCAACGCUCGAUGGAGAUACCUCUGCGCCGUAAUCCCAGAAUUGUUUCAGCUCGCGCCUUAUCAGUCCCAAAAUCACUACAACACCUGGUGACCAGAGAAGGAAUAAGAAGGCAAAGUAAAAUAUCUGCAAAUUUUAUCGGCCUAAAAUUGGAAAAACGCGUCUAGAAAACCAAACAGAAGAUGUAAGAUCAAUGCGCUGGAGAUUACCUAGUGUACAUGGAACGAGAUAGAGGAGUGCAGGCUGGCCGUUGCCAUUCAUGAGAUACAAACCCAGGUAAGUAAGACCGUGUCCUGGAAAAGGAAUAACGUUCCAUUUAAGACCGUGUCCUGGAAAAGGAAUAACGUUCCAUUAGUACCACAUGAGACAAUAUGGACAUGUUUAGUUCGAUCAUGCUGCAGUCUGCUAUUAAAAGGAAAUGAAAUAAAUACAGGAGCGUGAAAAUCACUACCGUAUCCAGAAUUCUAAUAACUAGGGCAAAUAAUACUAAUAACUACGGCAAGAACAAAAGAAGAAGAAAAGACAAGUAGGUUAGAAACUUAACAUAUGCAGACAAAAACAAGUGCGUUGAACUUAUCUGCAUCACAAGUAUAGAUCCCGUGACACCACAGCAUGGCCAACUUUUCGGUUCACGGGACCGCUGUCUGCAUGCAGUACUGCUCCUCCCAUUCCUUCCCACCACCACCACCACCACCAAUAAUAAUCCUUUGCUUCCAAGGUUAUAAAAAAACUAGGUGCUAGUUAGGCGGCAAACUGAGAUCUAAUGCCUAGGCGGUUAGGUGAGGCCUAGAAGGUGUCUGGGCGGACUAUGCGGAUUUAAGUAAAUUUAUUAUAUUUCGUAUAAAUAAAUAUUUGUUUAUACUUAAUAUUAUAUAUAUAUAUAUAUAUAUAUAAUUUCAUCACAAACUACAAAAUAGAAUGAUAUAUAUAUAUAUAUAUUAUGAAGUAUUGGAACACACUGAAAACAUGGGGAACAAACAUAUAAUGUGUGUUCAAUUAAGUAUUCAACAAGUCUCGCUUUCAAUUGAUUGAAAAAAAAAUGCAAAAUGAAAGUUAUCUAUUUUCUGUCUAAGUGAGUCGCAACCUAGACGAGUACUUAGACGGGCCUGGGAGGGCUAGGCAGGUGCCUAGGCGGUCUAGGCACCCCUUCUUAAUUUUGAAAUGCUUAGGCAUUAAUUGGGGUUGUGGCCAGCCGCCUAGCGCCGGGGAUUUUUAGAACAGUGUUUGCUUCUCAUUCCCCCUAUAAAACCCACCAACUUUGGAGCUCCAAAAACCACAACCUUAACGCACCAAACAAUUCCUAUAAGAAAAGAUAUGGAGGGUGCUCGUCAAAAGCUGGUCGUAGUUUUGGCUGCUGUGGUUUUGGUUGCAAUUGCAGGCAAUGGCGGUUUUGUUCAGGUUGCUAAUGCCCAGAACAUAUGCAACAUCUCUGUCACCGGUUUGAUGACUUGCAGGCCGGCUGUGACUUCUCCGAAUCCGGCACCGCCUACAAAAGCCUGCUGCGCGGCGCUGUCGCACGCCAACCUGAGCUGCCUUUGCUCCUACAAGAACUCCAGUGUCUUGCCUUCUCUGGGGAUUGACCCUAACCUUGCCCUACAGCUUCCCGCCAAGUGCAAGCUUCCCCAUCCUGCCAAUUGCUAGACAGAGCUACGUACAAAAUGGUGCAAUAAACAAACAUGAUUUAGUUACGAUUAAGAUAUGAUUAAUCGUGCAAUCAUGCACAACUUAGGAUAAUUAAUAUGCUUUCCUAUAUGUAAUGUAAGCAUCUUUAUAGUUUGGAUGUGUGCGUUUCUUUUGUCGUUCUAUUUCAAUUUGCUAUCAUGUUUUCGAUAUAAUGUAAUAUUAUUAAUAAUACAAAUCUCGGUUUUCUUUUUUUUUUCUUUUUUUCUUUUUCCGGUAACAAGCCUCUUUGAAUACAAAUUUUAGAAACGGAACUUACCACAAGCCUCUUUGAAUACAAAUCUCGGUUUUCACAUAAGUGGUUACGUUCAAAUUAUGGAAUAUAUAAUUAAGAUUGCAGUCACCUUUUUUCACAUAGAACUCUAGUUUUUUUGUAUGGUUUUCGAGAGAAAUGGAAUUUAUUAAGCUAAUAGGCUCCAGCAAGUGAGGAAUAUCCCCCAUCAAAAUUUCACGAGUAAUAUAACUAUUAAGGUGAUUAAGAUCUAAAGAUUCCUAAUCUUUCAACAAUAUAUAUAUAUAUAUGGGAUAAGAUCAAGGGACAAAUAUUUUUACAAAUACUUUUACACUCUUUUUAAGCCUUUUGAUUACAUGACAUCCAAUGGUUCUUAUUUAUUCAUUAAAUGACAUGGAUGCUUAUGUGGAUUUUAACUAAUAUUAAAGAUAAAAAAAAACAGAAAAAAAAAUAUAAAACUGGAAAAUUAAAACUAAAAUUAAAAAAGGAAGAAGCUCUAGUUGUACACAUUCCUCCUUCUCCCCCUUUGCUAAUGUGGUUUUGCAACUUCAUGUCCUGGAUUGAUACGAAAUUAUGAUGCCUUCUACAAGAAGCUCUAGUUGUGAUUUCUGCAGCUCUCGUUUCAAAUUUCCAACCAUCUUGCCGACCCCAACCUAUAGCAUGACCUGCAACAUGAAGUUGCAAAACCACAUCAGCAAAGGGGGAGACGGAGGACUACGUACAACUAGGGUUUCUUCCUUUUUUUAAUUUUAGUUUUCAUUUUCCAGAUUUUAUGUUUUUUUUAGUUUUAUUUUAUCUUUAAUAUUAGUUAAAAUCCACAUACGCAUCUAUGUCAUUUAAUGAAUAAAUAAGAACAAUUAGAUGUCAUGUGUUUGUACCAUACUUGACCAAUCCCGAAACUACUGAGCACCGGUCAACGUUAUACCGUCAAGGACCCAGAAGAGUUUCCCUCCAACCAGGUGGAGGCCAAUCACAGCGCGACACGUGUCGAUAUCAGAAGCCAAUCAUAGCGCGACACGUGUCAACAUCAGAAGUCAAGCACAACACGACACGUGUCAAUGUCAGAACAAAGCUAGAAACUCUCUUCUAUAAAAGGAGAUCAUUCUCCCACAAUAUUUCCUAAUGUCAUUUGUACUAAAUCAUUCACUAGUACUCACUAAAUGAGAGCUUGAAUCUAUGUACUUGUGUAAACCCUUCAUAAUUAAUGAGAACUCCUCUACUCCGUGGACGUAGCCAAUCUGGGUGAACCACGUAGAUCUUGUGUUUGCUUCCCUGUCUCUAUCCAUUUACAUACUUAUCCACACUAGUGACCGAAGCAAUCUAGCGAAGGUCACAAACUUGACACUUUCUGUUGUACUAAAGUUCUCACUGAUUUUGUGCAUCAACAUCAUGUAAUCAAAAAGCUUAAAAAGAAUGUAAAAGUAUUUGUAAAAAUAUUUGUCCUUUGAUCCUAUCCCUAUAUAUAUAUAUAUAUAUAUAUAUAUGGGAGCAAAGUUGCAUUUGAUCGAAUGAAAUUACCGGAACAUCCUCAAAAAAAAACAUAAAAGUUGGGUUAUGACAGUUUGAGAGGCUAAUUCUAAAAUAAUAAGAGAGAAAUUAAUUAAAAGGAAAACUAAUGAAAAGGGCUUGAAAACUUUGAGUUUUAAUGAUAAGGACAAAAUAAAGGGUAAAGUGAAUAGUACCAGGAUUGACUUUUUAGUGUAAAAAUGUGGUUUUUCGUUAAAGUGAACAGUACCGGGUGCUUUUCGUUAAAGUUCCCUUAAUUAAAACUGGAGACCGUUUAGUUGGUCAAACAUAAACAAAAAGAUAAAUGGCCUACCAACUCAAACCAUCUAUUCCAACCUCAAAUUUUAUAAUUCAUUGCAAAAUUGUUUUUUGCAUAGUGAAUUAUAAUAUGAACGGUUCCAAUAACUGAACAACACUUUGGUUCCGCAUUAAUUUGUAAAGAAAUUCCUUCACAAUUUUGUGAAGCCAAAAAAUUGUUCUUAAAAUGAUUCGUCGUCCAAAUGUGCUGAUGCAUCCACACAAUUUAAGAAAUUGAAUUGGCAAUUUUAAGACCACGUUAAAUAUCCAAAGGUUAAAAUAUACUUUUGAGUUUUACUAUGAACUCUUGGAUAACAUAAUAUAUACAUGAAUGCAUUUUGAGUUGAGCAUAAUUCUUGUACAAAAUAAACAAAUGAACCUCUUAUACCAUAAGCUUUUAUGGAGAAGACGAGCAUCAUCUCCAAUAAAGUACAUACAAACGGGGGCCGUCAGACCGAUCUACGUACUGGCGUCUACGGACGGUUCAACGCUCGAUGGAGAUACCUCUGCGUUGUAAUACCAGAGUUGUUUCAGCUCGUGCCUUAUCAGUCCCAAAAUCACUGUAACACCUAGUGACCAGAGAAGGAAUAGAAGGCAAAGUAAAACAUCUGCAAAUUUUACCGGCCUAAAAUUGGAAAAACGCGUCUAGAAAACCAAACAGAAGAUGUAAGAUCAAUGCGCUGGAGAUUACCUAGUGUACAUGGAACGAGAUAGAGGAGUGCAGGCUGGCCGUUGCCAUUCAUGAGAUACAAACCCAGGUAAGUAAGACCGAGUCCUGGAAAAGGAAUAACGUACCAUUAGUACCACAUGAAGACAAUAUGGACAUGUUUAGUUCGAUCAUGCUGCAGUCUGCUAUUAAAAGGAAAUGGAAUAAAUACAGGAGCGUGAAAAUCACUACCGUAUCCAGAAUUCUAAUAGCUAGGGCAAGUAAUACUAAUAACUAGGGCAAGAACAAAAGAAGAAGAAAAGACGAGUAGGUUAGAAACUUAAAAUAUGCAGACAAAAACAAGUGCGUUGAACUUAUCUGCAUCACAAGUAUAGAUCCCGUGAAACCACAGCAUGGCAACUUUUCGGUUCACGGGACCGCUGUCUGCAUGCAGUACUGCUCCUCCCAUUCCUUCCCACCACCACCACCAAUAAUAAUCCUUUGCUUCUCAUUCCCCCUAUAAAACUAAAGCAGCAGAGAACCGACUGGCUGCGUGCAUUCCCUCCACAACACCCCAACGCGUAAGUUAAUCAGGAUGGAUCGACAGGCUUUCCAAACCUACAGGUCUCUAUGGAGGGUGCUCGUCAAAAGCUGGUCGUAGUUUUGGCUGCUGUGGUUUUGGUUGUAAUUGCAGGCAAUGGCGGUUUUGUUCAGGUUGAUAAUGCUCAGAACAUAUGCAACGUCUCUGUCACCGAUUUGAUGACUUGCAGGGCGGCUGUGACUUCUCCGAAUCUGGCACCGCCUACAAAAGCCUGCUGCGCGGCGCUGUCGCACGCCAACCUGAGCUGCCUUUGCUCCUACAAGAACUCCAGUGUCUUGCCUUCUCUGGGGAUUGACCCUAACCUUGCCCUACAGCUUCCCGCCAAGUGCAAGCUUCCCCAUCCUGCCAAUUGCUAGACAGAGCGACGUACACAAUGGUCUAAUCAACAAACAUGAUUUAGUUACGAUUAAGAUAUGAUUAAUCGUGCAAUCAUGUACAACUUCGGAUAAUU